UUUAUGUUGCUUCAAGAAUUCCGUUAUACAGGACAUACACCGUUGGAAAAUCUUCGACGGACAAUAAUAUGAUACAGCUUCGUUUGGCUACGGUUACUCUGACUAAUUAUAAGAAUGUUCAAUACUAUGGUAUUAUCAAAAUUGGAACUCCACCGCAGAUGUUUAGAAUACUUUUCGACACUGGUUCCUCAGAUCUCUAGGUGCCUAUAUCCACCAACUGCAUCCUGCUUAGCCAACCUGCUUGCUACUUCCUGUACCAUGGACUAGAAUCUAGCACGUCUAUAUACAGAACCCUCACGAAUUUUUGAGAGAAAAUCGUUUCCUGGAAGGGGAAGACCCAAGAUGUUACAGCUGGCGCGUCAUACCAGCGAGGAGGCUCGUGCCCACUUCGAGCCAAUCUCCGGGCCUGGCCAUCCCAAG
Molecule: long non-coding RNA, 420 nt
Organism: Temnothorax curvispinosus
Lineage: Eukaryota; Metazoa; Arthropoda; Insecta; Hymenoptera; Formicidae
Exons: 3
Source: RefSeq, a predicted model, not a curated record